RNAcentral lists this ribosomal RNA (407 nucleotides) under uncultured bacterium. Its description in RNAcentral is "partial 16S ribosomal RNA". It matches the Rfam family "Bacterial small subunit ribosomal RNA", at positions 28 to 526 of the family's 1533-position model. The record is from RNAcentral.
GACGAACGCUGGCGGCGUGCCUAAUACAUGCAAGUAGAACGCAGUUGCGAACGGGUGAGUAACGCGUAGGUAACUGCCUCAUAGCGGGGGAUAACUAUUGGAAACGAUAGCUAAUACCGCAUACAGUGAGAUGGACCUGCGUUGUAUUAGCUAGUUGGGGAGGGAAAGGCUCACCAAGGCGACGAUACAUAGCCGAACUGAGAGGGUGAACGGCCCAACUGGGACGGAGACACGGCCCAGACUCUGAAGGGAGGCAGCAGUAGGGAAUCUUCGGAAAUGGACGGAAGUCUGACCGAGCAAAGCCGCGUGAGUGAAGAAGGUUUUCGGAUCGUAAAGCUCUGUUGUUAGAGAAGCAGUAACUAACCAGAAAGGGACGGCUAACUACGUGCCAGCAGCCGCGGUAAUUC